RNAcentral lists this transfer RNA (73 nucleotides) under Carnobacterium iners. Its description in RNAcentral is "Carnobacterium sp. LMG 26642 tRNA". It matches the Rfam family "tRNA". Rfam says of the family: Transfer RNA (tRNA) molecules are approximately 80 nucleotides in length. Their secondary structure includes four short double-helical elements and three loops (D, anti-codon, and T loops). Further hydrogen bonds mediate the characteristic L-shaped molecular structure. tRNAs have two regions of fundamental functional importance: the anti-codon, which is responsible for specific mRNA codon recognition, and the 3' end, to which the tRNAs corresponding amino acid is attached (by aminoacyl-tRNA synthetases). tRNAs cope with the degeneracy of the genetic code in two manners: having more than one tRNA (with a specific anti-codon) for a particular amino acid; and 'wobble' base-pairing, i.e. permitting non-standard base-pairing at the 3rd anti-codon position. RNAcentral also lists the same sequence under 1 other name. Lineage: Bacteria; Bacillati; Bacillota; Bacilli; Lactobacillales; Carnobacteriaceae. The record is from Rfam by way of RNAcentral.
CGCGGGGUGGAGCAGUUGGCAGCUCGUCGGGCUCAUAAUCCGAAGGUCACAGGUUCAAGUCCUGUCCCCGCAA